Molecule: long non-coding RNA, 2026 nt
Organism: Taeniopygia guttata (zebra finch)
Lineage: Eukaryota; Metazoa; Chordata; Aves; Passeriformes; Estrildidae
Source: Ensembl
GCCGCGACGGGCAGCUCAAAGUCGGCUUAGUUGUGCUCCGCGCCGCCGCCCGCUGCUCCGGCACCAUGUCCCUCUGCAGGGCCGCCUCGCAGGCGCUGGCCUCCCGCCUGAGCAGGGCUCCUGCCGCCGCCGGCCGCCUCAAGCAGCGUGCACCUCCUCGCCAGAUGUCAUCUGGGAGUGUUCCUGGCUCUUCUAGAGACAGCAUGAUGAUCUAUCUCCUUGCUGGUGUUGCUGCUUUUGGUGGUUUAUUUUAUGCCUACAGAGUAGUCAGUUCAUCCCGCAGCAAGUUUGUUGAACAUUCAAGUAUUCUUCGUGAGAGAACCGAGGGGCAGAACAGCAAUCCUUGGUCAAGGAAGGUUUCUGAGGAGGAGAAGACAACUGAAGAAGUUGCUAAAGAGCCCUAAAGAGUGGACACCUUUGGAAAGUUUAAUGCAAAUAUUUGUGGCAAUCAACCAGCUGAUUCCGGUGUGAAACCUCAUACUCUUCCUUGAAGACAUAAAAGAAACUCUGCAGUUUGUCCCACCCACACAUUGGCCAUUAUGGCCAGUAUUCAGUGCUGCAAGAGAUGAUUUGCAUUGCCUAGAGAAAUGCUUCUGUGACUAACAACUCUGCUGUAGAGAGUAGCUUCCAGUCAAGCCACUCAGCAUGUCCUAAAUACAUGUGCUAAGAGAAGCAGUAGACUUAACUAAACCAUGCCAUAUGAACUCCUUCUAUGUCAUUGUUGUCCUGAUAUGUACAUUGAUUCCUUACUUUUGGUCCAAACUAUUGUGUGUAGUUAUACCUUUGUAACAUUCCAUGCUAAAAUGUAAACAAAAGGUUUUAAAAUCAAGUCAAAAUAUUACAAAACUACAUGUUAGCAUUUUAAAAUUGGAUCACAGGGAAAAUAACAACGUGUUUGCUCCUGAGUUUGGAUUUGUGAUUGUAAGCAUAAGACAUCUGGCUGUGCAUGACCUAAUUUUCCCCCUGCAUAAAUAUUUCAGAUGAUACCACUCCUUGCACAGUAACAUCUAGGAGUAAACAUUUUAAGGCUCCUGCUUCGGGAAGAAAACCUGUUUGCAGGUAGUAGCCAUAGGUACUUUAUAAGUGGUGGCUGGCUCCUGCCUUGGGUGUGCUGGGCUCUGCUCCUCCCAAAUCUCGUUCAGCUUGCUGUGGUCUUUCUGUGUUGCUCUGUCUUGGCAGUGGCAUAUACUGGUAGUGUAACAACACAAAAGUUUGGUAGAAGCUUUCAAACUGGUACAAAUUACAAGCCCUUUAGGCCAUGGCAAAGCCUGUCUCUAACCACUUGCACACAGAGAGCAAAAUCCCUGUGAAGGGCUAUUCAACAGGUGUUCAAAUGGACAGGCAUUCUUAGGGACUAAGAAAGAACCAAACAGCUAAAUGGCCUUGUUUUCUCAGUAUUAGCUUCACAAAAAUUACAUUUAUUAUGAAUAACAGGUUUGAAUGCCACUGUGCUCCCAACCUUCAUGUGCUACAUGCAUGAGCAUGCAUCUGAGACCCCAUUUCAGCCAUCACAGAAUGGCAAUGAUUCUAAACCAGAGCCAAAUAAGGUAUAUUAUGUACUAUUUAUAUAGAAAGUGUGUUGCAUAAGGUGUGUCUGACUCUUUUCUCUUCAAGAAGAAGUUUGGAAAAUGUUGAAAGGGAAACGACAGCAUUAAUGACAUUCCUACCCACAGCACAAAGCAACACAUGCUCCUUCCCCCAUCAUAAAGCAAAUUAUAAUAGUGUUCCAACAAAGAUAUAGCCUGUUGCUCCUGGAUCUACUUAGGAAUAACUGGAAUAAUGCAAAGGCAAAAGCAGGCUCCUGAGCUUCAAGAAGACAAACCACAGCCUUCUGCUUAAAGGAUAAAGCCUCUGUGAUUAAAAGCAGUUUUUGUAGACCAAGCUACUGGAAUAAAAAUCUUAGACUAAUAUUUUGUUGGAUAAGAGUCUAUAUUUAUCUUGUAGAUUAAAAAUGCUGUGAUGGAUGUAUGCACUUAAAUUUUCUAUUUCUUCAUUUUCACAAAUUACUAGUAAAAGAAGCUAUUUU